RNAcentral lists this ribosomal RNA (755 nucleotides) under uncultured bacterium. RNAcentral's name for it is "bacterial SSU rRNA". It matches the Rfam family "Bacterial small subunit ribosomal RNA", at positions 31 to 851 of the family's 1533-position model. The record is from RNAcentral.
UAAUGCUGGCGGCGUGCCUAACUAUGCAAGUCUAUGGUUUUGCUUGCAAAACCAUGGCAGACGAGUGAGUAAUAUGUAGGAAUCUACCCUCAACACAGCCAUAACUUACCGAAAGGUAAACUAAUAGCUGAUAAUCCAGUUUACUGGUAAAGAUUCGUCGGUUGAGGACGAGCCUGCACCCCAUCAGAUAGUUGGUAAGGUAAUGGCUUACCAAGUCUAUAACGGGUAGGGGGCGUGAAAGCGUGUACCCCCACGAUGGCACUGAGAUACGGGCCAUACAUCUACGGAUGGCAGCAAGUAGGAAUAUUGCGCAAUGGGAGCCUUUGGCUCCUGACGCAGCGACGCCGCGUGUAGGAAGACGGUUUUCGGAUUGUAAACUAACAUCAAGAAGGGACUGCUAACUUCGUGCCAGCAGCAGCGGUCAUACGGAGGUCCCAAGCAUUAUCCGGUUUUAUUUGGCGUAAAGAGUUCUGUAGGCGGUAUUGUAAGUUACGGGUUAAAUCUUUCGGCUCAACCGGAAUCCUGCUCGUAAUACUGCAAUACUAGAGGUAGAUAGGGGAGGGCGGAACGUAUGGUGUAGCGGUGGAAUGCGUUGAUAUCAUACGGAACACCAAAGGCGAAGGCAGCCCUCUGGGUCUAUUCUGACGCUAAGAGACGAAAGCGUGGGGCGCGAAACGGAUUAGAUACCCGUGUAGUCCACGCUGUAAACGAUGUCUACUAGAUUCGUGUUAUCCAUUGGAUGAUGCGUGUCGCAG